Molecule: non-coding RNA, 30 nt
Filed under: Mus musculus (house mouse)
Lineage: Eukaryota; Metazoa; Chordata; Mammalia; Rodentia; Muridae
Source: RNAcentral
UGAGAUAUAGUCACUGAGCUUCUAAUCAGC